UAGACAUCUUCUCUUGUGUUAAGUGCAUCUUUAAUUGAAAAGCAAAUUGUCAUGUUCCAUAAGGUAACUAAGAUACUUGAUGUUUCCAAAUGUGGUCCACUGAUCUUUCAAACUCUAGGGCUGCUCACUGAAAUCAAAGAACUAAAGGUAGAAUCAUGCAAAAGAUAUCAACCCCAUGCUUAACGUUUUUAAGAUUAUUUACUUUCUUAAAAUGACAAUACAACCAAAAAAACUUCCCAAUUGAUUAUAAUCAAUACCAAUAGGAUUCUGAGAAAAUAAUUUUUUUAAUUGUAGAAAUUAGAGGAAAAAAAUUUAAAGAGCAGAGGGCCACUUUAUGUGAAGUGAUAAGCUUUGAAUACACAACUUGCACAAGUUGAAAAGAAAACACAAAUAGUUGCCUUUGGUAGUCACUCAGCCAAAGUUUCAAUGAAACUGUAAAUGUGAGUUAUUCCACAAUUUCAACACAUCGUGAUAGUUGAUGAUUCAACUAAUAACUGAUCCCAGGGAGAGGCUCUCAAACCACAGGUUUCAUCCCAUUCACUUCAGAGUGUAUAAAAUAGCUGGGAUAUUCCAGAGCCAGUCACCUCCAUUUCUUAUAACACCAUCCCAGAGAAGGAACGGACUGGGAAGUUUGAGAUUACAUCUGAAUAAAAUGAAAGUUCUCCUUCUGCUCACAGCCAUCUUGGCAAUAACCAUUGGUUUCCCGGUCUCUCAAGACACGGAAGAAGAAGCACGAAGUGUCAGUGGGAGUGAUGAACUAUCUUCACAGUUCUUUUUUCCUCCUUACCAAUAUCCACGCAGCCAUUAUUCACGAUUCCUCUGUCCAUGGUGGGCCUAUUUUUAUCCUCCCAUUCCAGUACCUGCAUCUGUCUCUGCAACUACUCCUCUUAAUGAGAAGUAAAUAAGAAAGAGAAGUCC
Molecule: long non-coding RNA, 918 nt
Filed under: Bos indicus x Bos taurus (hybrid cattle)
Lineage: Eukaryota; Metazoa; Chordata; Mammalia; Artiodactyla; Bovidae
Description: lncRNA (ENSBIXG00000006688.1)
Source: RNAcentral